AAUAAAAAGACAAAGAAACAAAAGAAGAACAGAAUAGAAACAGAGAAAGAGACGAAAAACAGGGGAAGAAAAAGGGAAAGAAAAAGAAAAGGGAAAAUUGAGAUUUUAAAGCUUCAAGUUAAUUGCUAACAAGGAAAACGAGGCAUCGGCAUCCAAAGGAAAAGAAAAGAUCGUUGAGGAGUAAACGCGUAUUCCGGGUUGUAGAAGUCAAGUAUUGAGCCAGCAUCCAAAACCAGACCCGACUUCAGCAAAUUUUGGUGAUGUAUAUUUUCUUUUAGAAUGUGGCAUGUACAUAGGAUGUGUAUAAACGUUAUUAUGUUUUGAAUAUAAAUAGCUAAAAAUGUUAGUAUUAUAAAUCUAAGAAUUUUAAUGAAAGAAAUUUAUCCAUUCCAAAUUAAUUAGUACAUUGAUAAAUUUAAAUUGAUAUUGAAUUAAUUGAGUUUGAUUAGAAUGCAUUUAGAAUAGAAAAUAAGAAUGUGAAAUGAAUUGGUUGAAUUGGCUGAAUUGGUUAUGUUUGUAAAAAUUUAUGGUUUUAUUUGCAGGAGGUUUAGUGUAAAAGUAAGCAGAAAUGCUGCCGAAAUUUUUAUAAAAAAAAAGUCAAUUUGUAAUUUUUAUAUGAAUUUAUGAUUUUAUCUUAAUAUGUUUGAUAUUUAUUUAAGAAUUAUUGUAAAUUAUCAGAUAUGUCCGGUAAUGCCUCGUAACCCUAUUCCGGUGAUGGUUUGGGGUUAGGGGGU
This is a long non-coding RNA of Gossypium raimondii (Peruvian cotton), 734 nucleotides long. RefSeq lists it as uncharacterized. The transcript has 3 exons. Lineage: Eukaryota; Viridiplantae; Streptophyta; Magnoliopsida; Malvales; Malvaceae. The record is from RefSeq and is a predicted model, not a curated record.